Molecule: ribosomal RNA, 449 nt
Filed under: uncultured bacterium
Lineage: Bacteria
Description: bacterial SSU rRNA
Rfam family: Bacterial small subunit ribosomal RNA
Source: RNAcentral
GAUGAACGCUGGCGGCGUGCUUAACACAUGCAAGUCGAACGGGAAUUACUUUAUUGAAACUUCGGUCGAUUUAAUUUAAUUCUAGUGGCGGACGGGUGAGUAACGCGUGGGUAACCUGCCUUAUACAGGGGGAUAACAGUCAGAAAUGGCUGCUAAUAUCGCAUAAGCGCACAGAGCUGCAUGGCUCAGUGUGAAAAACUCCGGUGGUAUAAGAUGGACCCGCGUUGGAUUAGCUGGUUGGUGGGGUAACGGCCCACCAAGGCGACGAUCCAUAGCCGGCCUGAGAGGGUGAACGGCCACAUUGGGACUGAGACACGGCCCAGACUCCUACGGGAGGCAGCAGUGGGGAAUAUUGCACAAUGGGGGAAACCCUGAUGCAGCGACGCCGCGUGAAGGAAGAAGUAUCUCGGUAUGUAAACUUCUAUCAGCAGGGAAGAUAGUGACGGUAC